UACAGAGGCCUCGAGCGUUAGGCGGAAUCACUGGGCUUAAAGCGUGUGUAGGCGGAUGCCUAAGUGCUUUGUGAAAUCCCACGGCUCAACCGUGGAAUUGCUUGGCAUACUGGGUGUCUUGAGCCAUCUAGGGGCGAGCGGAACAAGUGGUGGAGCGGUGAAAUGCGUAGAUAUCACUUGGAACGCCAACGGUGAAAACAGCUCGCUGGGGAUGUGCUGACGCUGAGACACGAAAGCCAGGGGAGCGAACGGG
RNAcentral lists this ribosomal RNA (253 nucleotides) under uncultured bacterium. RNAcentral's name for it is "partial 16S ribosomal RNA". It matches the Rfam family "Bacterial small subunit ribosomal RNA", at positions 524 to 776 of the family's 1533-position model. The record is from RNAcentral.